This 474-nucleotide ribosomal RNA is filed under the name uncultured bacterium. RNAcentral describes it as "bacterial SSU rRNA". It matches the Rfam family "Bacterial small subunit ribosomal RNA", at positions 917 to 1382 of the family's 1533-position model. The record is from RNAcentral.
GGGCUCACACAAGCAGUGGAGCAUGUGGCUUAAUUCGAAGCAACGCGAAGAACCUUAUCCUGGGUUUGACUAUUGCGGAUACCCUCUGUGAAAGCAGAGUAAGUUGCUCUUGUAGUGAAACGUAAACAGGUGCUGCAUGGCUGUCGUCAGCUCGUGUCGUGAGAUGUCGGGUUAAGUCCUUUAACGAGCGAAACCCUUAUCGUUAGUUGCCAGCGCGUUAUGGCGGGAACUCUAGCGAGACUGCCGGUGUUAAACCGGAGGAAGGCGGGGAUGACGUCAAGUCCUCAUGGCCUUUAUGCCCAGGGCUGCACACGUGCUACAAUGCUACGUACAAACCGACGCGAUACCGCGAGGUGGAGCAAAUCGGAUAAAGCGUGGCCCAGUUCGGAUUGAAGUCUGCAACUCGACUUCAUGAAGUUGGAAUUGCUAGUAAUCGCGGAUCAGCAUGCCGCGGUGAAUAUGUUCCUGAGCCUU